UGGGGAAUAUUGGACAAUGGGCGCAAGCCUGAUCCAGCCAUGCCGCGUGGGUGAUGAAGGCCCUAGGGUUGUAAAGCCCUUUCGGCGGGGAAGAUAAUGACGGUACCCGCAGAAGAAGCCCCGGCUAACUUCGUGCCAGCAGCCGCGGUAAUACGAAGGGGGCUAGCGUUGCUCGGAAUCACUGGGCGUAAAGCGCACGUAGGCGGAUCUUUAAGUCAGGGGUGAAAUCCUGGAGCUCAACUCCAGAACUGCCUUUGAUACUGAGGGUCUUGAGUCCGGGAGAGGUGAGUGGAACUGCGAGUGUAGAGGUGAAAUUCGUAGAUAUUCGCAAGAACACCAGUGGCGAAGGCGGCUCACUGGCCCGGUACUGACGCUGAGGUGCGAAAGCGUGGGGAGCAAACA
This 402-nucleotide ribosomal RNA is filed under the name uncultured Rhodoplanes sp. RNAcentral's name for it is "bacterial SSU rRNA". It matches the Rfam family "Bacterial small subunit ribosomal RNA", at positions 355 to 774 of the family's 1533-position model. The record is from RNAcentral. Lineage: Bacteria; Pseudomonadati; Pseudomonadota; Alphaproteobacteria; Hyphomicrobiales; Nitrobacteraceae.